Molecule: ribosomal RNA, 256 nt
Filed under: uncultured prokaryote
Description: partial 16S ribosomal RNA
Rfam family: Bacterial small subunit ribosomal RNA
Source: RNAcentral
UAAUACGUAGGUGGCAAGCGUUGUCCGGAUUUACUGGGCGUAAAGAGCGCGCAGGCGGCCAAGUCAGUCGAAUGUGAAAGCCCCCGGCUCAACUGGGGAGGGUCAUUCGAUACUGCUCGGCUCGAAGACAGGAGAGGGAAGUGGAAUUCCCGGUGUAGUGGUGAAAUGCGUAGAUAUCGGGAGGAACACCAGUGGCGAAGGCGACUUUCUGGCCUGUUCUUGACGCUGAGGCGCGAAAGCUAGGGGAGCAAACGGA